UUGGCUGCUCUGGAAACUGAAGCCCUCUAGUUAUCCAUAGAAGAGAUACAGCAACAGCAUAAGCUUUCCCAUACCAACAUGCCUAUGUGUCUCAAUCCUGUUCAAAAGGGACUAAGACUGAAAGGGGUAAUUCAGUUUCCAUGUCCAUUCCGUCCUUGGCCUCU
Chelonoidis abingdonii (Abingdon island giant tortoise) is the source of this 164-nucleotide unclassified non-coding RNA. NCBI's taxonomy places the organism in Eukaryota, Metazoa, Chordata, Testudines, Testudinidae. The record is from Ensembl.